This 497-nucleotide ribosomal RNA is filed under the name uncultured bacterium. Its description in RNAcentral is "partial 16S ribosomal RNA". It matches the Rfam family "Bacterial small subunit ribosomal RNA", at positions 28 to 507 of the family's 1533-position model. The record is from RNAcentral.
GACGAACGCUGGCGGCGUGCCUAAUACAUGCAAGUUGAGCGAUGAAGAUUGGUGCUUGCACCAAUUUGAAGAGCAGCGAACGGGUGAGUAACGCGUGGGGAAUCUGCCUUUGAGCGGGGGACAACAUUUGGAAGCGAAUGCUAAUACCGCAUAAUAACUUUAAACAUAAGUUUUAAGUUUGAAAGAUGCAAUUGCAUCACUCAAAGAUGAUCCCGCGUUGUAUUAGCUAGUUGGUGAGGUAAAGGCUCACCAAGGCGAUGAUACAUAGCCGACCUGAGAGGGUGAUCGGCCACAUUGGGACUGAGACACGGCCCAAACUCCUACGGGAGGCAGCAGUAGGGAAUCUUCGGCAAUGGACGAAAGUCUGACCGAGCAACGCCGCGUGAGUGAAGAAGGUUUUCGGAUCGUAAAACUCUGUUGGUAGAGAAGAACGUUGGUGAGAGUGGAAAGCUCAUCAAGUGACGGUAACUACCCAGAAAGGGACGGCUAACUACGUG